RNAcentral lists this ribosomal RNA (392 nucleotides) under uncultured bacterium. RNAcentral describes it as "bacterial SSU rRNA". It matches the Rfam family "Bacterial small subunit ribosomal RNA", at positions 28 to 417 of the family's 1533-position model. The record is from RNAcentral.
GAUGAACGCUAGCGGCAGGCUUAAUACAUGCAAGUCGAGGGGCAGCGCGGGUAGCAAUACCUGGCGGCGACCGGCAAACGGGUGCGGAACACGUACGCAACCUUCCUUUAAGUGGAGAAUAGCCCGGGGAAACCCGGAUUAAUACUCCGUAAUAUUAUGAAGUGGCAUCACUUUAUGAUUAUAGAUUUAUCGCUUAAAGAUGGGCGUGCGCCUGAUUAGGUAGUUGGCGGGGUAAUGGCCCACCAAGCCUUCGAUCAGUAACUGGUGUGAGAGCACGACCAGUCACACGGGCACUGAGACACGGCCCAGACUCCUACGGGAGGCAGCAGUGGGGAAUAUUGGACAAUGGGGGCAACCCUGAUCCAGCAAUGCCGCGUGUGUGAAGAAGGCCU